GCUGAGACUUUAUAGGAUGAUCCACUGUUCAAUAAGGACUACUGAUAAUGAAAAGGAAAUACUAGCUAUGUGGCAUGUGAAGGAAAUAUCUUCUGCCUUGAUGUUCGCUGGCAAUCCACAGAAGCAUUCGCUGAUGAAGACUGUGCUGCAAGAUGCAAAACUAAGACAAUUCAGAUAAAAGUUCAUGAACAGCAAGGUUUGUGAAUUCAAGUCCCAGAAGUUUUAAGGUAAAAUUCACAGCAAGGACAGCUUCUACAUGAACAGGUGACCCUUCAACGAGAAGCAUGCUGGCCACGAACUCUACAAGAAGUGCCUCCAGACUCUGUGCAGAGUCAGGAACCAGUAGGGAGAGGAAAACCUGUAAGGACUUCAGUGGAUUUCAUUUAUCAGAUAUAAAAUUUAGAUCGAUUACAGAACAGCCUUUGUACCAAGUUUAGAGCAGUAUUUUUAAAACUCCCCAUCACCAAAUUCCUCUAAUGACCGAACUUGAACAUCUAUUCCCCAGGAAUCUAGGUACACCUUAAAUGGCCUACUAUGUAUAUGAAAUACCUUUGUAGUCUUUUCAUCUUAGAACUGUAUGGCAAUUUUUAUUUUUAUCCCAUAAUACAACAGUUUAAUGUUUUGCAAGAAUUUCACCUCCCUACAAGUUUCUAAUAAGACUGAAGCUCAGAGAACGUAUACCAUGUUAUACGGAGGCAUUACAUCCACCUGGGGCUUUUGUGGUUGUAAACAACCAAAAUUGAGAGGGCCAAGCCAGUAAGUUGAUAACAGCUUGUCUCUCACUUGCAGUUUCCACAUUUCUCUACCACCCAUUCCCAUCAUUUAUAAAACCCUAUGGAUCCUUCAAGUAUAAUAUUGUUGUCUUCCAUCCUUCCUUUUAGAUCUCCAAGACCACAACCCCAGUUCAAGUUCUCUCUUGCCUCACUCCUGUGAAUCUUGCCUAAGCCCUUUGAGCACAAUGUUCAGUCUCCUCCAUUUCAAAUUUAUCUUCCUAAAGCAGAGCCAAAAACGUUGCUCUUCCAACUAAACAUUUUCCUUGGGUACCUAAUGCCUAAAACGUACGAAAAAAUUCCUAAAUUCCCAAGGUUCUACUAUGGAAGUCUGAUAAAUUGGAAAGAGGAUGGGCUCUUGGAGUCAGAGGCCUUAAAUCUAAAGCUCUGCUCUUCUGCUGACUAACCAAGUAACCACACAACAUACUUUCCCCUUAGUAGCUAUAAAUUUCUCAACAGUUAACAAAAAGGCAGGGGAGAGAUCAUAUAUAUAUAUAUUUGCCUCAUACUGUGGUUAUAUGAUUAGAAAUAAUAUAUGUAGAGGACCUACACAUAAUCGGAUCACAACAUGUACUCAAUAAAUGGUAACAACUACUACUACUGCUCCUGCUAUGAUAUCUACUAUAGCUACUAUUACUACUACUACUUUUUAAAAAUUUGAUUCCAAUCAACUUUUAAAAUCUUUUCUCCCACUAUUUGCCCUCAUUUCUAAUAUUCUGGCAAAACUUAAUUCACUUUCUGGGAUAUAUUUAAACUUUCUAAUUUUCUUCUACAUUCAUAGCCUCAAUCUUCACCCAUAAUUGAAGUCAACAGAUCAAAAACUAUCUUGCCCACAAAGCUGAUCAUCUCUAUUGAAGCUAUUCUUGUGGCUCCUUGCCUUUCAGUGUUGCAAUUUCCAUACCUGUUUUAUUUGUUGACCCACUCUGUGGGCUGCCUAGGAAUAGUGACUCUGUCUAACACACUCUUGUUUCUCCUAGAGUAGCUUAUACAACUUAGGAAUUUGAGUAGUACUUGUUGACUAAAGAUUAUCUUCUGUAGAUUACAUCUCUACUCCUUCUGUCAUGUGAAACAAAAGCAUAGACCAUUACUUCUAAAAUCAACCUUUGAGCACAAACUUUCCAUCAAAUUAAAAGGACCUGAAGGUUUUUCCAUCUGUCCCUGAGUGUCAAGUUAGUACAGGGCCAGGAGCAUAUAGCAUGGCUCCUGUCUUCCUCCCUAGUGUUUUCAUGAUGCCAUCCUGCAUCCUAGCUGUCUCCCCACAGGAUGAGUGAAUCAGGAGUCAUCUGUGCUAUCUGAGAAAACAGUGACUGCUACACCUCCAUCAUAACUAGUAGCAAACCUGAUUAGUAAGGUAUAGAUUUCUUUCUCGCUUGCUCUUGCUUUGUGUGUGUGUGUGUGUGUGUGUGUGUUUGUGUGUGUGUGUGUAUGUGUGUGUAUUAAAAAGUUUUCAUGGCUGGGUGCAGUGGCUCACGCCUGUAAUCCCAGCACUUUGGGAGGCCAAGGUGGGUGGAUCACGAGGUCAGGAGAUUGAGACCAUCCUGGCUAACACGGUGGAACCCUGUCUCUACUAAAAAUACAAAAAUUAGCUGUGCGUGGUGGUGGGCGCCUAUAGUCCCAGCUACUCGGGAGGCUGAGGCAGGAGAAUGGCGUGAGCCCGGGAGGCGGAGCUUGCAGUGAGCCAAGAUCACACCACUGCACUCCAGCCUAGGUGACAGAGUGAGACUCCGCCUCAAAAAAAAAAAAGUUUUCAUUAUGGGCCACGCACAAUGGCUCAUGCCUAUAAUCCCAGCACUUUGGGAAGCCAAGGCAGGUGGAUCACUUGAGGUCAGGAGUUCAAGACCAGCCUGACCAACAUGGUGAAACCCCAUCUCUACUAAAAAUACAAAAAUUAGCUGGGCAUGGUGGUGCCCGCCUACAAUCCCAGCUACUCGGGAGGCUGAGGCAGGAGAAUCACUUGAAUGCAGGAGGUGAAGGUUGCAGUGAGCCAAGAUCAAACCACUGCACUCCAGCCUGGGCGACAGAGCUAAAAAAGAAAAAAGUUUUUUAAUAUGGAAAUUUUUAAACAUCCAGAAAAGUGAAGUGAGAAAUAAAAUUCCAUGACCUCUUACCAAGCUUCAACAAUUAUCAAAAUUUUGCUAGUUCCUACUUUUUUAUAAAAUUUUGUCAUUCUCCACUUUCUUUUGCAAAAUGAAAAACAUUUGGACAUUUAUUUCUCAAAAUUGUACACAUUGAUAGAAUUAUGUUAAAUGCACACAUAUAUUGAAAAAUAAAGAGUCAUUAGAAGGCAAAAUUCCUACAUGUUAAGCAAAGUUCUGUUUGGUUCCUUUCUUUUUUCUGUUUAGGGUGAAUGCUUUAUAAUAAGUAUGUUCUAGUUCAAUGAUGGAAAUAUAAAGUAAGAAACGAAGGUGAACUAUGGAAGCAAAUCCUAAAGGACUCUCUCUGUAAACUCACAUUGCAGCUCUCCUCGUUGUCAGGCCGGUGAGGCAGGAUGAAGGAGGACACAGAGAGAGGGCCGUCACACUUGUCGGCAGGCUGAGUGAAAUCCAGACAGCUGGUGAUGAUGCUGUAGUAGUGAGUUGGAACAGGAAUGGAACUGCCUUCCACGUACCUGAAACAGGAAGGUAAAACGAAGUCACAGUUGAUGAGUUGAUGUUGAAGCUUUCUUUUUUAAAUGGUGAUCAAUGAAUAUUGCCUAAGUCACUAAAAUUAAUCCCCAUUCAAUUGAAUCAUUUUUCACUUCUAAGCACUAGCCCACUUCUAUGUCUUUGAAAAUAAUGUUUUCUUUGCCUGGAAUCCCCUCACUCCUCAACCUGGCAGAGUAAGAAAGAUAUUCCAGGCAAAGAAAAUGGAUUGAUCUAAGAAUUGGAGACAGGUAAUGGUGAAUAGACCAAUGCAGUAGAAAUGAAAGGCUGGAAGCGUCAAUAAAAGCCAAAUUAUGGUGGGUUCUGAGUGCCAGGAUAUGGACUGGGGCAUUAUUAUUUAGGUAGUAAUGCUCCAUUAAAGGUUUUUGUGCUAGGGAGUGUCAUUCAUUAUUAGUUCCAUGUUUCAGGAAGAUAACUUUCCUAGAGUUGUAUAAAAUGGACAGGGGCAAGAGACAUUAGAGCCAGGAGAAUAAUGACCCUUUCAAGCUACAAUGAGAUGCAGAACUUGAUACAAAGAACUCAUUUGCCAAAGGAAGUACUAAGGACCGAGUGCUAAUGAUGGACCUAGAGGUAUAAAAAAUAUUUUCCUGUAGAGAUCAGUACAGAAAUUCAUAAUUCCUUGCCUGGUUUUCUAUUAUCUUAAUUUUAUUCAUUUUCCAAAUAUUAAAAUUACGAUUUAACUACUAAUUUAAUUUUGGCUAACAGUGAUCAGCAAUAAAAUAAAUGUGCAAUUUACACAAAAUUUCUCUUCAGAAUGACUGGAAAAGAAGUAAGAUAAUUUCUAUCUUAUUUAUCUGUAUUUAUAAAAUAGCAAUUUAUUCUGUAAUUAUCUCUAAAUCACAAUUAAACCCUCUUAUACUCUGGGCUGCUGAUUGUUUCAUGCUUGUAUAAAAUUAAAUAACAACAUUCUGAAUUUGUCAACAAAUUUGUUGACAAAUUCAGAAUGUUGUUAUUUAAUUUUAUACAAUGAAAAUACAUCCCAAUCACUCUAAAUCUUGCUUUCUCCACUAGACUGUGGGGUCCCUUAUGAGCACAGAUAAUGGCUUUUAUAUGCCCAACAGCACCAAAGAGACAGAGACAACCAGAUUCAAUCCAAGUCCAUAGGCACUUUGCUACUGAGAGGUACUGACUCAGAAAAUCUAAGGGAUUCUUAAGUCCCACCCAAAUAAUGAAGAUAAGUGGGAAUGGUCAUCUUCCCAUUGAAGAGCUGUUGAAGAAAUGACUAAACAAAAUUAAAUCCUUUAAUACAUUUUUUUCAUAGAAUAAAAAAGUGCAUUUAUUUACCACAAAACCCAAAAUUCCAUUCCCACCACCAAUGCCCAUUUAAUCAAAAGAAUUGAUAAAUUCAGGCUGGGCACAGUGGCUCACACCUGGAAUCCCAGAACUUUGGGAGGCCGAGGAGGGUAGAACACUUGAGGUCAGGAGUUCAAGACCAGCCUGGCCAACAUGGUGAAACCCCGUCUCUGCUAAAAAUACAAAAAUUAGCUGGAUGUGGUGGUGCAUGCCUGUAAUCCCAGUUACUCAGGAGGCUGAAGCAGGAGAAUCACUUGAACCCAGGAGGCGGAGGUUGCAGUGAGCCGAGAUCACAUCACUGCAGUCCAGCCUGGGCAACAGAGCAAGACGCCGUCUCAAAAAAAUAUAUAUAUAUAUAUAUUGAAAAAUUCAAAAAACUUAAGGGGUGUCAUCUCUUCUCUAGUAUAUGAAUAUUUGAAAAACUUCUUGAGUGAGAUCUUGGGACUUAAAAAUCACACACUGAGUAGAAAUGAAACGCUUACUGUUUUAUUUUGUCUUCUGUGUCAUGUAAGCCAUCAUAGUCAUAGUCGAAGAUUGGUCCACUUAUCACGUUAACUCCAUUUCUUUCCGAAGCAUAUUUCUUCACCAAUACCCUUUGGAAAUAAUUCCAGACCCCUGUGCAAAGACAAAAAUCCAAAAAUCAAUUAUUCAUGAAGAAAACUCCUUACUCUAGCCAAAUUCUCUCUAGGAUGCAUGCUACGAGCCAAAUCUCACAAGCCAAGAGACAAGAGAGCUGUCGUGAUUCAUGAGAUGAAUCAAUUCUAUGGCAUUACCAGUGUGUGUGUCAUUUACAAACCAGCAAAGGGAACAGUGUAGAGCUAUGAAACAAUGGUAGGGGAGUUUAACGUAGUUCAAAAGUCAGGAAAGGAUCCUCCCAAGCUGAGAUCUGAAGCAUGGAUAAGUAGGUGGUGUUUCCCAGGCAGAACACGCCAGGCAGAGGGAACAGAAUGUGCAAAAGAGGAAGUAUGGUGUUUCAGAGUAAUGAAAAUAAGGCCUUACUCUUUCUUCUCGUCCUUCAUAUCUCAUCAAUAUGCUAGUUCCCAGGUUUAAGCUUUACCCCUGACCUUUCCUGGAGAUCCAGACAUGUUAUCCAACCACCUACCUCCUAAUGCACUGGAAUACCUAAUAUUCAUGUCAAGCAAAAGAAUUUUAAUGUUCCUUCCUAAUCCUGCCCCAACCCUCGCCUUCUCCAUCAUAAUCAAUGGCUCUGGCACUCACCCAGGUGUUUGGGCCAAAAGCCUAAGAGUCAUCCUUGCUUUCUCUCCUAGCUAUAGACACAUGUGAACAAUUCCUGUCAGUGCUAUCACCAAAGUACAUCCCAAUUAUCCCAAAUUUGACCACCUCUCAUCUUUUCACUGCUCUAUCCUGGUCUAACUUACCAUCCUCUCUGAGUGAGCUAUCACACCACAAAAGACUAUUCCCUGGGUUCCCUGUGAAAUGCUUACUUCCCUUGUACCUUGUAGCCCACUCCCCCAUAUCGUAGCCAGACGGAGCCUUUUACACCAUAAGUCAGACUGUAUCUUUCUCUUGCACGCACAUGCACACACACACACACACCACCCAUUUCCAACACUCCAGAUUAUUUUUCAUUGUAAUUAGAGUGAAAUCCCAACUCCCCACCAUGGUCUUUGCCUACCUCUGUGACUUUACUUCCUACCCCUUUCCCUAUCACUCGCAAGACUUUCUUCCUGUCCCCUGACUUUUCCCCUAACUUAUUUCAGGCUAAGCUUUUGCACUUGCUCUUUCCUUCGUUUGAAAAACAUUCCUGGAUCUGUGCAUGUCUGCUUUCUCCUCUAUAAUUCUUUCUCACUUUCACUGUCAUCCCCUGCAGAGAACUGCCUUAUCCUCCUGCUUCUAAUUUCCAUAAUGGCCAACCAGAGGGGCAGAAUGGAAAUGGAGAAAAACAAGAGAAUAACAGAAGGAGACAGGAUAGGCAAGCAAUGGGUUGGUUCUGAAAUAUUAGAUCGAAUUCGCCAUGCUGUCUUCAACAUGGGUGUCAUGCGGUUCUGGCUGUUAACCCCUCUUCCCUCCCCUUAUUAAAAAGCACCUGGCCAUGCUUCUCAUACUGCUUCAAUUGCUCUUCCUGCCUUCUGAAACUCUGAAUGGCAGAGCAGCCCACAAGAGCCAAAAUACCUUAGAUAAUUAUUUGCAGUCAAGAAAGAAGCCAGACAGUAAGAAAGGAGUUCAAACGUUAACUUAAGCAUUAAGAAAAAAUGGAGAGGAAGAGAAGGAAAGAAACAAUGAGAACAGUCAAAAGGCCAGGCCUGCAGAAAUGUGGCAUGUGAAAAAACCACCCCCCUCGUGGAGAACAGCAAGCUCUCUAUGAAAGGCCUUCUCCACACCAGCCUCAGGGUGGUACUGUGUGUUGCCUUGAUUACCAUUUGGUCAAAAAAACACAUCAAUAAAGAAUAAAGAAAUCCAGAGAACCCUGAUUUGCAGAAAUUAAAUGAAGCUGCAUUCUAUGUAAUAUUGUGAUAAAUGUAACUAUGUGAGUUUCUGAAAUGCUUCUCAGUUGGGUCUGAGAACAAACCAAGAAAUCUUUUUAAAAGCAUACUUUAAUUUUUCACUCAUAAGCAAUAAAUUCUCUUUGAAUAAACCUUCGUUUACUAACUAGGACAUCAAAUAAACAUUUUUUUCUCUAAACCGUGUGGCCCUUUUCACCAAUGUUAAGCUGCGGAGGCCCGCCACUGUAGCUGACACUCCACAAUCGCCCAUUCCUAUUUUGAGACUCCCUUUCAGCCCUGAGAGUUACAUAACACAGCCUGAACCUCCUCCAUCAAGUUGAAGCACAUAGAGGUGCUUCCUUUUCCUACCUUUCCCAUAACGAUUUAAGUUCUGUUCACUACAAAUGUACUGAAAGGUGGUAAAAGCUACUUCAUAAUGCUUACUCUAUCUUUGAACACAUGGAUAGAUAAAAGGAUGGAUGGGUGGACAGGGGGAUGGAUGGAUGAAUGAGGAUGGAGACAUAGAUGAAUAGUUAACAGAAACAAAAAAUGCAGUGCUUUCGACAUUGGAUAAUUAAGUCAGAAAUCCAUAUAAACCUUAGAGGUCAUGCAAUCAUAUCUCUUAAUUUCACAAAUGAGAGAUUUAAUGACAUUUCUAUGAUCACACAGCCUGUGGUCACACUCCAGGAACUUGGCUUUUUGUGCCCGAGCUCAUUGUGCCUAUACAAUUCUUGACUUCACCAGCAUCCACAAAUAUUUAUGUCAGGUACAAAGAAAUUACAAAUGUUCAAAGAAACUAAAAUAAUUGGUACAGGACUAAAAUCAUCUGAAAUAAACACUCUGAUGAUUCAGAAGGUCCUUUCGGCUCUUGCUGGGUUUCAGGGCCAACAUUCAGAAAAUGUUAUCACCCCAAGAGGAAGAGGUGCUACUGGCUUUUACUGCAAUGCUCAACAAAUAAAUAUAGAUGCUGUUAAAUAUCAAGUGGCUUUCAAAAUAUAGUGAAGACCCUUUUUAACCAUUAAGAUAAUAAGUAUUGAAAUAAAAAUAACAACCAUAUUAGAAGAAAAACACAAACUUGGGUUAGUUCAGUUUCUACCAUGCAUGACCUGUGGUCACUUUCUGUGAUAUCAAUUUCUUAAUUAUAAACCGGGGAUAAACUACCAGCCAACCUUCCUCACAGAUUCAAAUUUUGGAUCAAUGUAGAAAGUUUACAUGAAAUCAAAGUUUACAUCAAUGUAGAAAGUUUACAUGAAAGAUCCUCAAAAAUUAUAAAGGUUAAACACAUGAAAAGUAUUCUUAUUAAAAUUAACAGAGGUAGAAAAGGUAAGGGGUAAAUUUAGAAAUGUUUAUUUUCAUAAAUAACAGUGUAUUAGGUAAAUAUUGGACUUACGUUUGAAAGCAGGAUACAUUGGAACCAUAUUGGUUACAAGGAAUGCAUCAUAUUUAGCCUCUGGUGAAGAGCUCAGAUCUAAACAUUAGGAAAACAAAUAGUAUACGUUGCUUACCAAAAUCUAUAUCAGUUAAAAAAAAAAGGGAGAGGGG
This 8691-nucleotide long non-coding RNA is filed under the name Homo sapiens (human). RNAcentral's name for it is "HSALNT0142636". Lineage: Eukaryota; Metazoa; Chordata; Mammalia; Primates; Hominidae. The record is from RNAcentral.